This 442-nucleotide ribosomal RNA is filed under the name uncultured bacterium. RNAcentral's name for it is "bacterial SSU rRNA". It matches the Rfam family "Bacterial small subunit ribosomal RNA", at positions 338 to 791 of the family's 1533-position model. The record is from RNAcentral.
CCUACGGGGGGCAGCAGUAGGGAAUUUUCGGCAAUGGGGGGAACCCUGACCGAGCAACGCCGCGUGAACGAAGAAGUUAUUCGUAAUGUAAAGUUCUUUUAUCAGGGAAGAAAGAGGAAUUUGACGGUACCUGAGGAAUAAGCUCCGGCUAACUACGUGCCAGCAGCCGCGGUAAUACGUAGGGAGCGAGCGUUAUCCGGAAUUAUUGGGCGUAAAGGGUGCGUAGAUGGCAUAGUAAGUCUUUUGUAAAAAUGCUGGGCUCAACCCAGUAGGGCAAAAGAUACUGCAAAGCUAGAGUAUGACAGAGGCAAGUGGAACUACAUGUGUAGCGGUAAAAUGCGUAAAUAUAUGUAAGAACACCAGUGGCGAAGGCGGCUUGCUGGGUCGAUACUGACAUUGAGGCACGAAAGCGUGGGGAGCAAACAGGAUUAGAUACCCUUGU